UACUCCAAAAACAUCCUGCUCAAAAUCCUGGUAGUUGUUGAUUUUUGGACUAUGUUGUCUAUAUUUUGCUUUAUCAUUGACUAAAGGAAGACAAGCUACCUAAAUGUGACUUAUCGGAUAGUGUUGAAGCAGGACAUGUUUUUGAGUUACGUUUUUAGCCAAAAGCCUUGUAUUUAAGCAAAACAAGAGCUGAAGAAGGGAACCAUGAAGAGGAGCUUGGAGUGGGCAAGGGAGAGGCUGAUAAAGCAGCAAAGACCUGAUUCAUCAAGUAUCACAGUUAAUUCCGGUGAUUCUCACCUGGUUGGCAUGCACAACACCGCAAGAGGACUUGAGCCCUAGGACCAUGCCUCAGGACUACCUGACAUGAUGACUCCUUGCUGUCCCCAGUCCACCUGGCCGUGCUGCUGCUCCAGUUUCAACUGUUCUGCCUUAUUAUUAUUGGACCAUGCUGGUCAUUUAUGAACAUUUGAUCAUCUUGGCCAUGUUCUGUUAUAAUCUCCACCCGGCACAGCCAGAAGAGGACUGGCCACCCCACAUAGCCUGGUUCCUCUCUAGGUUUCUUCCUAGGUUUUGGCCUUUCUAGGGAGUUUUUCCUAGCAACCGUGCUUCUACACUUGCAUUGCUUGCUGUUUGGGGUUUUAGGCUGGGUUUCUGUACAGCACUUUGAGAUAUCAGCUGAUGUACGAAGGGCUAUAUAAAUAAAUUUGAUUUUAUUUUAUUCCGAACUUACUAGGUGGUCAUGCAAUAAACGUUUUGGAUAAUUCCCCUUAAA
This is a long non-coding RNA of Oncorhynchus masou masou (cherry salmon), 772 nucleotides long. RefSeq lists it as uncharacterized. The transcript has 3 exons. Lineage: Eukaryota; Metazoa; Chordata; Actinopteri; Salmoniformes; Salmonidae. The record is from RefSeq and is a predicted model, not a curated record.